CGUCCCUUGUACUUUGGGAUAACUUCAGGAAACUGGGGCUAAUACCGGAUAGGAGCUCCUGCUGCAUGGUGGGGGUUGGAAAGUUUCGGCGGUUGGGGAUGGACUCGCGGCUUAUCAGCUUGUUGGUGGGGUAGUGGCUUACCAAGGCUUUGACGGGUAGCCGGCCUGAGAGGGUGACCGGCCACAUUGGGACUGAGAUACGGCCCAG
This 208-nucleotide ribosomal RNA is filed under the name uncultured Actinomycetales bacterium. Its description in RNAcentral is "partial 16S ribosomal RNA". It matches the Rfam family "Bacterial small subunit ribosomal RNA", at positions 126 to 334 of the family's 1533-position model. Lineage: Bacteria; Bacillati; Actinomycetota; Actinomycetes; Actinomycetales. The record is from RNAcentral.